RNAcentral lists this ribosomal RNA (247 nucleotides) under uncultured bacterium. RNAcentral describes it as "partial 16S ribosomal RNA". It matches the Rfam family "Bacterial small subunit ribosomal RNA", at positions 523 to 769 of the family's 1533-position model. The record is from RNAcentral.
AUACGUAGGUGGCAAGCGUUGUCCGGAUUUACUGGGUGUAAAGGGCGUGUAGCCGGGUGCAUAAGUCAGAUGUGAAAUCUGGAGGCUCAACCUCCAAACUGCAUUUGAAACUGUGCAUCUUGAGUAUCGGAGAGGUAAUCGGAAUUCCUUGUGUAGCGGUGAAAUGCGUAGAUAUAAGGAAGAACACCAGUGGCGAAGGCGGAUUACUGGACGACAACUGACGGUGAGGCGCGAAAGCGUGGGGAGC